This 979-nucleotide long non-coding RNA is filed under the name Heterocephalus glaber (naked mole-rat). RNAcentral's name for it is "lncRNA (ENSHGLG00000036106.1)". The record is from RNAcentral. Lineage: Eukaryota; Metazoa; Chordata; Mammalia; Rodentia; Bathyergidae.
AGGGCAAUGCUGCAGCUACUGAGUUGUUCAAGGCUCUUUCAGCCCACCCUUGUGGAUGAGGUGGCAGCAAGAACCCCUUGUCCCAUGUUGUCCGAGCUUGGCCUGGGGAGGGUGCAGGAACUACACAGUCUCUGCCUUUAGUCCUGGCACUGGUGUGAGCCUUCAGGCCGCUGGCUAUGCCCUUGGUCUCAGAGCCCCAGUACCCCAAUAUCCUGGUUCUUGAGCGUGGCACCCUCCCUUUCCCGCUGUGUCUCAAACUGGUCUCUUACAGUGCAGGGUGCCCAGCAGGCUUAGGUCAGUCCCUCUGCUGGAUCACAGUGGGUUUGUGAGGCAGCUAUCCCUCCCGCCAGUGCAUUCCAUGUAUGUGGGGUCCCUGACUCCUGGAGCAGCCAAACUCAGUAGCUCAGUUCUCAAGAUGGCUCCUGCGGGUCCCUGAGAGAUGGUGUGAGAUCCUCUUCCAAGCAAGGCUACUGAGCAGAUCCCAGGUCUCUGAAUUGACAAGCUCUCCUGCUAACAGCCAGCAUUCCCUCUCACCUGCUCACCUCACAGGCUGCUCUGCACCUGUUACUUCGCUGAUUCCUUGUGGAAACGCAGGAGACCUACGUGGAAUUCGCUGGGAAGAGCUGGCUUUGAGGGUUAUUUGUGGCCGAAGUCUUCCCAGAUCCCUUCCCAGCAGCUUCACCGAGCACAACUUGUCUCAGAAGAGCAGAGCUGGGCACAUCUGCCAGGGUCUAAGGUCCCGGCACACUCCUGGCCGGGUCGCAGAUUCCCACGCUGCAUCUGUCUGGCCGGAGGUCUGCGAUUCCUCUCCUUCUCUCUCCUCUCCCCUGAGGGUGUUUCUGGUUCCUCUCUCCUCAUCCCCACUGCAGGGAGCAUCCUCGAAUUCGGGUUGGCUUCCCAUGGGCUGCUCCUCGGCCUCCUGCAUGUGGAAGCUUCCACUACCUUUUUCUUCCUCCUUCAUCUUUGUUCCUAGUAUGCU